This 76-nucleotide transfer RNA is filed under the name Candidatus Staskawiczbacteria bacterium RIFOXYC1_FULL_38_18. RNAcentral describes it as "tRNA-Lys". It matches the Rfam family "tRNA". Rfam says of the family: Transfer RNA (tRNA) molecules are approximately 80 nucleotides in length. RNAcentral also lists the same sequence under 1 other name. The record is from RNAcentral. Lineage: Bacteria; Candidatus Staskawicziibacteriota.
GCCCUCAUAGCUCAAUUGGUAGAGCAGUUCCCUUUUAAGGAAUUGGUUCUGAGUUCGAGUCUCAGUGAGGGCACCA